GUUUUUCGGUGGUUUUGAUAUCUAUGUUUUCCCGAAAGUUCAUGGAACUGGGGAUGUGUCGGUCAUGCCUGAUGUAUCUGUUGAUCUUGUCACUAAUACUGUAAUAUUGAAGGUGCAGCAGAGGAUUCAAUCUCUUCAAGCUGGAGCCAAGGCUUAGCACUUCUUCAAGUGGAACGUUAUUUAAUGUUGCAUUCCAUGGUCAUUCAUCUUAGUCAGAACUUGAAUUUUGUGUUAUGGAAACAAGGUUCGUAGCUACGUUGUGUACCAGCUUCUUUAACCAUGAUGGUUAAUUAUUACUAGUUUUGUAGCCUCUUUUAUAAUUGGCCGA
This is a long non-coding RNA of Gossypium arboreum, 328 nucleotides long. RefSeq lists it as uncharacterized. The record is from RefSeq and is a predicted model, not a curated record. The transcript is spliced from 3 exons. Lineage: Eukaryota; Viridiplantae; Streptophyta; Magnoliopsida; Malvales; Malvaceae.